This is a long non-coding RNA of Corylus avellana, 756 nucleotides long. RefSeq lists it as uncharacterized. NCBI's taxonomy places the organism in Eukaryota, Viridiplantae, Streptophyta, Magnoliopsida, Fagales, Betulaceae. The record is from RefSeq and is a predicted model, not a curated record.
UAUUUCAGAGGGAAGCGGAUAUUUCCUAUAGUAAUCUUAUUCACUAAAAGCCAAUCAUUUUGAAUCUUUGCAAGAGCAUUCUUUUGUGUUUCAGGCGGAGCAGUUUCUUGAGCAAGUGAAGUGCUAGGCAAGUGACUUUAAGGCCAGUUGUCUUCUCAGCACAAACAGGGGUGCAACUGUGAAGAUGCCACCAUCGUUUUGUUUCUGCACCAGCUUAUAAGUUGUUUUGUGUUAUGGAGUAAUUUGGAAUGUUCAACAAAAGCCAGAGAAAUGGAUAUAAAGACCCUGGAAGAGGAACACAAUGCACUUUUAUCAGAUAAAGCUGGAGAAACUGAGUACUUGCAGUCUCUGCUAGACCAAAUUGAAAAACUGAAGGGAUUCACUUCCUGUUAAAUGUGCUUGCGGAGAAGAAUACAAGGUCUGUGUGGACCUUUGUGUGCGACAAAACAUGAACUAAGUGUUUCAACCUUGGAGAACUUGGAAGGAUUAGCAAAGAAUCAAUAUUGGACUAGAAUAUAUAUGUGACUUUCUAUACAGGUAAUCCCACAAACAGAGAAGAAUUUAAUUUUUUAAGACUAAUGUUGCAACAUGAAUCUGAUGAAACUAUAUAUUAAAGAUUUGUUCAAGAUUGGGUUUAAAUAAUUUUACCAAUAAAAAAUAUGGUUUUAGUAAUUUGAGUAGUUAAUUUCUUUGUGAAACUGAACAAAGGGAAUGCCUUUCUUUUAAGGUGUACACAUUGCUGGCCAAUAUAAUUCA